GACGAACGCUGGCGGCGUGCUUAAUACAUGCCAGUCGAACGGAAAGGCCCUGCUUUUGUGGGGUGCUCGAGUGGCGAACGGGUGAGUAACACGUGAGUAACCUGCCCUUGACUUUGGGAUAACUUCAGGAAACUGGGGCUAAUAUCGGAUAGGAGCUCCUGCUGCAUGGUGGGGGUUGGAAAGUUUCGGCGGUUGGGGAUGGACUCGCGGCUUAUCAGCUUGUUGGUGGGGUAGUGGCUUACCAAGGCUUUGACGGGUAGCCGGCCUGAGAGGGUGACCGGCGACAUUGGGACUGAGAGACGGCCCAGACUCCUACGGGAGGCAGCAGUGGGGAAUAUUGCACAAUGGGCGGAAGCCUGAUGCAGCAACGCCGCGUGCGGGAUGACGGCCUUCGAGUUGUAAACCGCUUUCGCCUGUGACGAAGCGUGAGUGACGGUAAUGGGUAAAGAAGCACCGGCUAACUACGUG
This 468-nucleotide ribosomal RNA is filed under the name uncultured bacterium. RNAcentral describes it as "partial 16S ribosomal RNA". It matches the Rfam family "Bacterial small subunit ribosomal RNA", at positions 28 to 507 of the family's 1533-position model. The record is from RNAcentral.